RNAcentral lists this ribosomal RNA (465 nucleotides) under Vreelandella stevensii. RNAcentral's name for it is "partial 16S ribosomal RNA". It matches the Rfam family "Bacterial small subunit ribosomal RNA", at positions 338 to 795 of the family's 1533-position model. Lineage: Bacteria; Pseudomonadati; Pseudomonadota; Gammaproteobacteria; Oceanospirillales; Halomonadaceae. The record is from RNAcentral.
CCUACGGGUGGCUGCAGUGGGGAAUAUUGGACAAUGGGCGAAAGCCUGAUCCAGCCAUGCCGCGUGUGUGAAGAAGGCCUUCGGGUUGUAAAGCACUUUCAGUGGGGAAGAAAGCCUUGGGGCUAAUACCCUCGAGGAAGGACAUCACCCACAGAAGAAGCACCGGCUAACUCCGUGCCAGCAGCCGCGGUAAUACGGAGGGUGCGAGCGUUAAUCGGAAUUACUGGGCGUAAAGCGCGCGUAGGCGGUCUGAUAAGCCGGGUGUGAAAGCCCCGGGCUCAACCUGGGAACGGCAUCCGGAACUGGCAGGCUAGAGUGCAGGAGAGGAAGGUAGAAUUCCCGGUGUAGCGGUGAAAUGCGUAGAGAUCGGGAGGAAUACCAGUGGCGAAGGCGGCCUCCUGGACUGACACUGACGCUGAGGUGCGAAAGCGUGGGUAGCAAACAGGAUUAGAUACCCUGGUAGUC